UACUUAAUAUUUUAAUACUUUCCUAAUUUCUCCAUAGAUGAAGUUGCAAUGUUCCUUCGCGAUAAAAAAAAAUGUAUGAGAAAAUCUAUUCUAAAGAAGCGACUCUCGGUACGUCUCCUGCAACCAUGACCCUUCUCAAAGAAGAAGACCUCGCCUCCGCGAAAUACGAAUUCCUCUUAAUCGAUUAAACGCCGUCUCAAAGUCGAAGCCUGCCUCUGCUCGCUAUCUGAGAGACUGAAUCGCAUGGGCAAACGUUUCUACCACGGUUGAAUACUUAUGGGGACAACGGUAAUUGCUCUGGACGCGAGGAAACUCGGUUUUAAGUGGUAUAGACCAGCGGAUGAUCAGCCCUCCGCGGCCGAACGAAACGUUCGUGCGAUCAAUCACCGAUGAGGCAACGCGUCGGGUUUCUCGCGCUGGAGUCAGCCCCGAGACAACGUGGACGUCAAAUUGAAAUGAAUUACAGGCUGUGGAAAAUAACGUCACGGGCAAGGAGCAGCUCGCGUUCCUUCCGGGCAAAUACUAGUUUCGCAAUGGCCGAUCUCGACCACGGGCCGCUUCUCGCUCAUUAGUCGCGGCGUCAAACCUUACAAGGUCGGUGUGGCUAGUUUCCCAAGGAGAUGCUUAAUGAAUAUACAUCUCCCGGCCUUCCGAAGAACUUGCACGCAUUGUCUCUCGAUGUUUGCAUUCUGUGGCUGGUUGGCAACGAUCACUUGGCAACGACAAAUCGAGAGAUUCGCGAUCGAUUCCGCGCGAGUCCUGAACCGAGGUACUAUUUAUAGGAAGCUACGGAUGAUUUUAUAUGGACUCGGCGAUUCGGGAAACCACAACCAUUUCUCGUGGAAAACUUUAGCAGAUGAUCGCGCAAACCAGAGCCUUCUUAAACAUAUCUUGGAAACAUGUUUGCGUUCGCAGAAACACUAAUGGCCACGAUUCUGUUUAUUUUUCUCCUCGGUGGAAAUAAUAACAGACUUGAAAAAUUAAUUCGAGGAAUACCGUGAUUGUUUUUCACGCGUAAAUCGCGUGUUAGUAAUCCAUCAAGUUCCGCGGGGUUGUACGAGAAACGAGACAUCCUUUUAAGCGAGAAUGUCGCUGUUGUGACCAAAUUCAUCCGAUAUUUUACUCUACUAUUCCGCUAAUCUAUUUCUGAACGGGGCAUUCGAUGUGUUGCAACCGCGUGAAAUGUCGCAUUGACGUCGAAAAUCUCGAAACAGUUCUCGCUUCGAUAGUUGGAUUGAAACAAAGUUUUAAUUAUAGAUCCAUCGAUCGUUGCAUUCGAUCAUUGGCAUCGUAUAUAAGUCGAGAUGACAUCACGUUAUUAGUAAUAUUAUUAUUAGACGAAAUGGUCUGGCGAAACCUAAACAAAAAAUCUCUUCCGCUGAUUAUGGCGAACAGGAACGAUGCUCGAGAAUAUAGUGCGCCAAAGUAAUUUGAAUGAUGCUUAGGAACGCUAUGCGGCACCCUCUACGUGAUUCGAUUCUCAAACGAUGAUCGAAUAGCGCGAUAGAGAGACUAUGGCUUUAUCGUACCUCGAAAGUAUCAAAACAAAGAAGAUGGAAAAGGUUUCCUACGUCUGUAGCGUCAGUGUCAUGGCCACCGAUUUAUGUCAUGCCUAUCAUGCACGUGUGUCGGCAAUGGAAUCGUUUCACGCGUAACUCGAUAAAUUGACAGCGCACCGUUAGAUGCAGAGUCGAUUCAAAGAAUCUCUGGUUACACAUUUUAUAUAAACACGCAUGCGUUAUGUA
Molecule: long non-coding RNA, 1745 nt
Organism: Hylaeus anthracinus
Lineage: Eukaryota; Metazoa; Arthropoda; Insecta; Hymenoptera; Colletidae
Exons: 2
Source: RefSeq, a predicted model, not a curated record